This 212-nucleotide long non-coding RNA is filed under the name Mytilus galloprovincialis (Mediterranean mussel). Lineage: Eukaryota; Metazoa; Mollusca; Bivalvia; Mytilida; Mytilidae. The record is from RNAcentral.
CUAUAUUCACUUCAGCCCAUACAUUCUCACAGUUUGUUUGUAGCUCUGAGAUUUCAUCAGAUAUGAUGUCUUUUGAUAUGGCAAUUAGGACACCACCAUGACUUUGAUUUUUUUCAUUUGGUGGACGAUCUUUCCUGUAUACAUUGUAGUCUGAUAUUGCGGAAAGUAAUCAUAGGAAGAUGUUUCUUUAUCUAGCCAAGUUUCAGUUCCAA